UUUUACGGAGAGUUUGAUCCUGGCUCAGGACGAACGCUGGCGGCGUGCUUAACACAUGCAAGUCGAGCGGUAAGGCCUUUCGGGGUACACGAGCGGCGAACGGGUGAGUAACACGUGGGUGAUCUGCCCUGCACUCUGGGAUA
This 143-nucleotide ribosomal RNA is filed under the name Rhodococcoides kyotonense. RNAcentral's name for it is "Rhodococcus kyotonensis partial 16S ribosomal RNA". It matches the Rfam family "Bacterial small subunit ribosomal RNA", at positions 1 to 145 of the family's 1533-position model. The record is from RNAcentral. Lineage: Bacteria; Bacillati; Actinomycetota; Actinomycetes; Mycobacteriales; Nocardiaceae.